AACGAGGCCGACCUGCGGCUGAGUUACCUGCGGAAGGAUCAUUACCGAGUGAGGGCCCUCCGGGUCCAACCUCCCACCCGUGUUUAACGAACCUUGUUGCUUCGGCGGGCCCGCCUCACGGCCGCCGGGGGGCACCCCGCCCCCGGGCCCGCGCCCGCCGAAGACACCUGUGAACGCUGUCUGAAGUUGCAGUCUGAGACACUAGCUCAAUCAGUUAAAACUUUCAGCAACGGAUCUCAG
RNAcentral lists this unclassified non-coding RNA (240 nucleotides) under soil metagenome. RNAcentral's name for it is "partial contains 5.8S ribosomal RNA, internal transcribed spacer 2, and large subunit ribosomal RNA". The record is from RNAcentral.